GCAGAGUAGAUUGGUGACUUAUCAACAGGAAGCAUUGUAGGAUUAGUUAUUGGUGCGAUCGUUCUUCUGUUCAUUGUUGGUGCUGUCAUCUUCUUCUUAAACGGAAAACAAAAACGAAAGCAACACAAGAAUCAAUAUAUUCUACCUCCAGAAAAUUAUUCAAGCGACCAGAAACAUUUGCCAAUGAAAACAGUGGCUGAUUGAAUGAAACGAUUAUUGGGAAAGUUGUUGCACUGAUUGCUUUUGCAUAUGUUCAUUUGAACGACAAAACUAAUUUUGAAAUGGCUUCAAAACACUAAAGCAAUCGAUACUCGCCUGUAUACGUACUUGCAAUACAUUUUAUACUUUCUUUUGAUACUGUCGUGGUAAUUGAAAAAUUUUACCUCCAGUGUAUUUAAAGUUGAUUAUAAAUUUGGAGAUCAGUUGCAA
Long non-coding RNA from Xenia sp. Carnegie-2017, 429 nucleotides. RefSeq lists it as uncharacterized. The record is from RefSeq and is a predicted model, not a curated record. The transcript is spliced from 3 exons. NCBI's taxonomy places the organism in Eukaryota, Metazoa, Cnidaria, Anthozoa, Malacalcyonacea, Xeniidae.